CAUAUCUAAGUGAAAACUAGAGGAUAAUGAAGAAUCCAACAGCAGACCAACAAGGGUCUGACGGACAAUUUGGAGCUUGUGAGAGUGUUCCCUUCCAGGAGAGGAAAAAGAGAGAAAAAAGGGUGUGCAAAGCCCAUGGACUCAGGUAUCACCAGAGCCCUCACCUACAGCUGAGCUCUCUUGUGUCUUCUCUUGUUACCUAGUUUCCAAAGAAGGUGCCAGGUGUUUGUUCACUUUCCAACCCCUGAGAACCAAGCUUCGAACCUAAUCCACUGAGCCCUUUGCUAACUCAACCCUGCUGGAUUUAUCCUGCCUUACUUAGCACAAGCUUUCUGGAUAUUUUGACUGCUUCAGAUGACUAUGGCUGUAAUUCUUUGUGAGGCUUUGCUGCACCAUUGCAAAGAAUUAUAAGACCCUAAAUACAGAAUGAAAAAAAAAAAAAACACAGAAAAAAAAAACCCACCAAAAAAAAAAAAAGAAGGAAAGAAGAAAAGAGGAACACCCCACACCCCUCAUCUGUGAAUAAAAGCUUUUAUAAGCAGCA
RNAcentral lists this long non-coding RNA (544 nucleotides) under Zonotrichia albicollis (white-throated sparrow). RNAcentral describes it as "lncRNA (ENSZALG00000016396.1)". The record is from RNAcentral. Lineage: Eukaryota; Metazoa; Chordata; Aves; Passeriformes; Passerellidae.